RNAcentral lists this transfer RNA (87 nucleotides) under Ceratobasidium sp. AG-Ba. It matches the Rfam family "tRNA". From Rfam's summary of the family: Transfer RNA (tRNA) molecules are approximately 80 nucleotides in length. Their secondary structure includes four short double-helical elements and three loops (D, anti-codon, and T loops). Further hydrogen bonds mediate the characteristic L-shaped molecular structure. tRNAs have two regions of fundamental functional importance: the anti-codon, which is responsible for specific mRNA codon recognition, and the 3' end, to which the tRNAs corresponding amino acid is attached (by aminoacyl-tRNA synthetases). tRNAs cope with the degeneracy of the genetic code in two manners: having more than one tRNA (with a specific anti-codon) for a particular amino acid; and 'wobble' base-pairing, i.e. permitting non-standard base-pairing at the 3rd anti-codon position. Lineage: Eukaryota; Fungi; Basidiomycota; Agaricomycetes; Cantharellales; Ceratobasidiaceae. The record is from Rfam by way of RNAcentral.
CCCUUGAUAGCUCAGCUGGAAGAGCGCGAGACUGUAAAUGUUGCUUACGUAAUCUCGAGGCCACUGGUUCGAUCCCGGUUCGAGGGA